UUGCGNNUGGGCGAAGCCUGACGCAGCGACGCCGCGUGGGGGAUGAAGGCCUUCGGGUUGUAAACCCCUUUCAGCAGGGACGAAGCGAGAGUGACGGUACCUGCAGAAGAAGCGCCGGCUAACUACGUGCCAGCAGCCGCGGUAACACGUAGGGCGCAAGCGUUGUCCGGAAUUAUUGGGCGUAAAGAGCUCGUAGGCGGUCUGUUGCGUCCGCUGUGAAAUCUCGGGGCUUAACCCCGAGCCUGCAGUGGAUACGGGCAGACUAGAGGUAGGUAGGGGAGAAUGGAAUUCCCGGUGUAGCGGUGAAAUGCGCAGAUAUCGGGAGGAACACCGGUGGCGAAGGCGGUUCUCUGGGCCUUACCUGACGCUGAGGAGCGAAAGCGUGGGGAGCAAACAGGAUUAGAUACCCUGGUAGUCCACGCCGUAAACGUUGGGCGCUAGGUGUGGGAUCCUUCCACGGAUUCCGUGCCGCAGCUAACGCAUUAAGCGCCCCGCCUGGGGAGUACGGCCGCAAGGCUAAAACUCAAAAAAAUUGACGGA
RNAcentral lists this ribosomal RNA (540 nucleotides) under uncultured bacterium. RNAcentral's name for it is "bacterial SSU rRNA". It matches the Rfam family "Bacterial small subunit ribosomal RNA", at positions 364 to 917 of the family's 1533-position model. The record is from RNAcentral.